AGAGUUUGAUCCUGGCUCAGGAUGAACGCUAGCGGCAGGCUUAACACAUGCAAGUCGAGGGGUAUGUUUCUUCGGAAGCAGAGACCGGCGCACGGGUGCGUAACGCGUAUGCAAUCUACCUUUUACAGAGGGAUAGCCCAGAGAAAUUUGGAUUAAUACCUCAUAGUAUUAUGAAAUGGCAUCAUUUUAUAAUUAAAGUCACAACGGUAAAAGAUGAGCAUGCGUCCCAUUAGCUAGUUGGUAAGGUAACGGCCCACCAAGACCACGAUGUCUAGGGGAUCUGAGAGGAUGACCCCCCACACUGGUACUGAGACACGGACCAGACUCCUACGGGAGGCAGCAGUAAGGAAUAUUGGUCAAUGGAGGCAACUCUGAACCAGCCAUGCCGCGUGCAGGAAGACGGUCCUAUGGAUUGUAAACUGCUUUUAUACAGGAAGAAACACUCCGACGUGUCGGAGCUUGACGGUACUGUAGGAAUAAGGAUCGGCUAACUCCGUGCCAGCAGCCGCGGUAAUACGGAGGAUCCAAGCGUUAUCCGGAAUCAUUGGGUUUAAAGGGUGCGUAGGCGGCCUGUUAAGUCAGGGGUGAAAGACGGUAGCUCAACUAUCGCAGUGCCCUUGAUACUGAUGGGCUUGAAUACACUAGAGGUAGGCGGAAUGUGACAAGUAGUGGUGAAAUGCAUAGAUAUGUCACAGAACACCGAUUGCGAAGGCAGCUUACUAUGGUGUCAUUGACGCUGAGGCACGAAAGCGUGGGGAUCAAACAGGAUUAGAUACCCUGGUAGUCC
This 787-nucleotide ribosomal RNA is filed under the name uncultured bacterium. RNAcentral describes it as "bacterial SSU rRNA". It matches the Rfam family "Bacterial small subunit ribosomal RNA", at positions 8 to 796 of the family's 1533-position model. The record is from RNAcentral.